This 1577-nucleotide long non-coding RNA is filed under the name Gallus gallus (chicken). Lineage: Eukaryota; Metazoa; Chordata; Aves; Galliformes; Phasianidae. The record is from RNAcentral.
GUAGCAAUGAACACGCAGUCUUGGUGCUGCCAGCUAAGGUCUGAGCAUUACUGUGUGGGUCAGAAUUGAUUGAUUUCCUUGUCUAAGUUAUUUGCAAGCUUAGUCAUUACUUUUGUAGCUGAUAAUUUCACUGGAGCUUGAGACCUGCCGUAUUAUGGCUUAUGAAAGUUUAACCAUCGGUGAACUCUUGGGCCAUAAAUCACGGUAGUGUUGCAUUGCUCUUAAAACUCGAUGGAAGUGCACGGCUGAAACAUGAGGAGGAGCACAGAGGAUCUCAGAGUGCAGCCUUUGGUGUGGAAACAUUGCAGCAAGUGUCAGGAUUCGUGUCCUGACCCGUUACAAGCCUCAGUGUUACUGAGAUGAGAGAAAGCAAAGCUCCUGCAGACACAGAGGCAUACUUCAGCCUGGUCCAGGACCAAAUCUCCUCUUAGCAUUAAUAAUACAUCAGUGGCUUUGGCGGGGGCAUGGUGACAUCAGUGUGGUACAUCUCUUGGGGAAAGUGAGAGAUGUAAGGUCCACUUUGUAAAACUGCGUGUCCACAGGAAAUGCUUUGACAACUGUGUGCUGCCAGCAGCUGAGAGGUGCUCCUGGCUCACGGCCUCCUGACCUUGCAGAGCAGUUUUCCAUAUGGAGCGCAUUCUGCCCGGUCCUCGAGGAGAGCACAGGUGUACACCAGCACAUGGUCACCUGGAAAGCAGCUUUUUGAUGACAAUCCAUCAGCGUUGGGGUGUUACUUCUGCUGCCUUCGGACCGAUAACCCAGCUGGUGCUUCACGAGACGUGUCAAUGUGAGGCCGUGUGUGUGGCUGUGCAAAGAGGAAUGGCAUCUUGAAAAUCAUCUUGAUAAAUACCUGCCGUCGGAGGCUGAGCCCUCCGCUGACAUAAAUAAGAGCCUUGGAAUGAAUAGCCCUAAAUAAAAGAUAGAUGCAAACAAAGAGCUGUGUUGCCUGGACUGCUGGUGAGCACCUGAGGAUCCCUGAUGUGCUGAAAGCAUGGUCUGUCCGAGAUUUCCCCAAUCUGCCGACUUCUCUAGUUGGGAUAAAGUAGGAGAAAAUGUAUUGUGGUUGAAAUGAAAACUGGCAGUUACAGCCUUCCCUUGGCAAGGAGGGCUAAGGUCCCUUCACCAACUCGGGCAGAAGGCAGAAAUCUUUCCUGGACCAUAAGAAUUCUAAUAACUCGAGGAUAAAAAGCAAUUCCCACUUAUACGGCUAAAAUUUCCAAUCAAGUCAUUAACACAGGCAGAAAGGAGACUCGGUAGAACAAUGUGUGUGGGACAGCAGAGGACUGCAGAAAUGAAGAUUCGUUUCUUCAGUGCAUAAUCUAUCCAUUAGAUUGGCUAACGUUAGCAUGGUGCUCCCGUGCCGGAGCGGAGCUGCAGCGAUGUGACCCAGAAUCCUGUUGCAGGGUUGGGAUCGUUCCCAGCACAGUCCUGUGCUUCAAUCUUCUGCGUGACAUCAGAUAAGUAAACACCAAGAUUUGAUGUGAGAACAUAUGUCCAUUGCAUAAUUCAUUAGCAUUCUUCUCUGGAAUUACUUUUAGAUAUAUGUACUUAGAUCAGAAUUAGUGGGUGAGGGUUAU